AUGCAAAGAAAAGCUGCGGAGGAAAGAAGCGUCUCAGUUUGCAAAUCUCCCAAAAUUGGUGGGCCAGGCCAUGGUCGAUCCAGACCACUCACCACUCAGACAGUGUUAUCAGAUGAGGAUGUAAGAGCAGCUAUUGCUCUUUUGAGACACUCUGCUGAUGAAGACAUCCGUAAAAAGAUGAAAGCUACCUUCAUUUAUCGGCAUUCAAUGGUCAGCGAUGAAAAGAAUGCAGCAGAUGUCUUCAUAGGCCUGAUGCGGUUUCUGGACACACCAGGACUGAUAGAACAAGAUUUCCGACUCCUGUUUUGUGAGGUCACUGCCAGCAAAUCCUUGGAGAGGUGGCCCAUCAAUCUCAAAGCAAAGGUUGUAAAGGAAAGUCAUGGACUUGUCUCCACCUCAGAGCUCUUGGAGUUAAUGUGCAAUGCUGAGUCAGGUACUGAAGUUGAGAAUGGUAUGAUUGUGACUCAUUUUAUUUGCCAUUGUUGGUUAUAUAGGUAAUUCUGUCAAUUGAAUGUAUUUUUGAAAUAAUUUUUUGUUUAUUCGUCUGUAGGCUAGGACAGUGACAUGUCUACUAUCUUGCUGCUGCUACAUCUGCUACCACCAUUUGCACAAGGGUGAAAGAGACCAGGAAAGAUGUCUGCAUCUCAAGCUGUCAAUAACCUCAUCAAAUUCCCAAAGGUAUGUUGUUUAAAAUAUACAUUCCAUCACCUCUAUUUUCAUGGACAGUGAGGUGAGCUAAUCUACUGUCAGAGGAUAGUCACUUAAUACUGUUGUUUAAUGUGUUGUUGUAGGCUGGAACCAGUGAAUAGCAGUAUCUAGACAACAGCAGUCAGCCCUACCUUCUUGCAUGGGGAUCCACAAGAAGCAGCAUUCACACCUUCAUUGUGAUUGACAAGCAUGCACUUCCAUGUAAAGCGACAGGUUCAGUAGUGAUGAACUCUUUAGGGCCCAUUAUGUCUUUGGUACAUCAUACAGUUCAUCGCUGUCCAACUUUUUUCACUUUUCUGCAAACAACUAUGACAUUGGGGAAACGCCAUAUUGCUUUCUCUAGUGAGCAUAAUAGAACUGUAUGCUAAUGUGAAUUGUAAGGGCUUGUUACGUUAAUUAAAUGACACUGAAAUGAGAAACAUAAUAAAUGCUGUUACUUUAACCUGUAUGUUUGUUGUUAUUUCCAUAAUAUAGGAUAGAUCACAGUUAUUUAGUAAUAUAGCAUCAUAAGAUGAAUAUGAAAAAAUAACACUACAGAGAAAUAAAAAGGAUAUAUUAUUACACAUCAGAGUGUUAUUAUUAAACUAAAUUUGGAGUAAAAAUAGCUCUAUAAAGUGUAAUCAAAUUACUCUGAACAGUGUGAAUAACCCUCAGUGUUAAAUAUUUUUACACAUUUUGUUGUUAAUUUUGACACUAAAUUGAGUACAAUUAACACUGAAAAGUUAACACUGGUCAUAGAGUAAAUUUAACUCUAAUUUUGAGUGGGACCAAAUGUUAUCUGAAGCAGAGUUAAAAUCAACUCUCUAAGUGUAAAAUUGACACUUGUUUUUUUUACUGUGUACUUGAUGCCACAUUAUUGGAGCGUUAGUGCAGCUUCCCACCAUCAUUAUCAAGCACAUCUCAUGACAAAGUCACACUCACAGACACUCACACUACAAGACUGAUUUAUGUAUCUGUAUAUUUUCAUAUUUGUGGUUGAUGUUUACAGGUACAGCAGCUAGUGAUACAGACUGUUAGCCUAGACAUUGUUGUACAUACCAUAAUAUGUAAUAACUCAUAUAACAAUGAUAGAAAUGAAUAAAUAAACACAUAAACAAGAGGAGCCUCUACAGAAUUUAUAGCUCAUCUUGUAAAAGCAAACCGUGUUAGGCACAACGGUGCAUUCAGAUCAUAAUUCUGAUUACAAAAGCUGCCAGACAGCUAGUAUUUUGAAAAAAAUAAUAAAACAAAUUCAACUUUUCACAGCCAGUUUUACAAAGAUUUGUGGUAAAUGUUAUUAGCAUCCAAGCCAGAG
This 2002-nucleotide long non-coding RNA is filed under the name Oreochromis niloticus (Nile tilapia). RNAcentral describes it as "lncRNA (ENSONIG00000040253.1)". The record is from RNAcentral. Lineage: Eukaryota; Metazoa; Chordata; Actinopteri; Cichliformes; Cichlidae.